GUUUUAAUAGUUUAAUAAAAAAUAAUGAUCUUGUAAAUCAUUGAUAGGAAACCUCCUUUAAAACU
Molecule: transfer RNA, 65 nt
Filed under: Yemmalysus parallelus
Lineage: Eukaryota; Metazoa; Arthropoda; Insecta; Hemiptera; Berytidae
Also listed under: 1 other name
Description: tRNA-Thr
Source: RNAcentral